GCUAGAUGGUGAAGUACAAAUUAUAUAGAUUUUGUACUUCACAAUAAUUGCCAAUCCCGGGAGCUUACAAGCAGGAUGGUGAUGUUAAUUACAAACUCUUUAGACAAGACGCCAAAUUGAGGUGACCUUUGUUGUAGGAUGGGAGAGGAGAGGACGUACAAGAGAGGCUGCAGAUCUUGUCCAUCAAUUUUUACCACAUACAACACUAGUACGCAAAUAAAACUAGUUCUAUCGAGAUGCAAAGUAGUAACUAUAAUCCAAAAGGAUGUCCUCCAGCUGAGCACACUCCUGUCUGACCAAAGAACCUUCAUCAGCCGCUUGUUGUGCCUCAGAAAUCCCCUCUCCUCUUCUCCUAUCGUUGUGGGACCAUCUUCACUAUCAGAUCCAGCCACCUCUUUAUCAGCUUAAAUAGGACAUGCUAGUUCGCCAAUGGCCUUCCUUAUUCAGGUGCUAUCAACAGUUUCCUUGUUGCUACCAGGACUCGAUUUGAGCAAUGAACUUUGGCCAAUCUUUACACAUAUUUUACUUAGUCAAGGCAGGAUGCUGAAACAAACAGAAAACCAUAUUAUUUUCUGUGAGAAAGAACCAAAAGAUGCCUUAACUUUCAUGGUAAAGAAUCCAACAAUUUGGUGUAAUCCAGGUACAAUGCAGCUAUACAUAUGAUUUCUUCACAAAACUCAUUUGCAAUGCAUGGAUCUACUUGUACGAAUCACAAAAUAGAUAUGCGAUACAUGGAUGUACUUGUACGAAUCACAAACUGAUAUGCAAUACAUGGAUCUGCUUGUACGAAUUCAAUAUGAAAUUGAAAAACCGAUAUACAUUGCAAAGCUGGGAGUAUGUGUACUAUGGACACAUGAACUUUGCAUAUACGUACCAUAACAUGUACAAAAGGCGAAACAACUUUAACUCAAAAUAAAAGACAAUUGUUGUGCUAACAGUUAAAAGUUAUACAAUAUGUAGAGCGGCAAAACUAAACAGUGUGAUAAUAAAAAAUGGAGAAAAUAAAAAACUCCAAAGUACCUUGCCAAUGAAAAAAUGGAGCACUAAAUAAACGGCAGGGGGCUCCUGUCCAAAUUGUAUGCAUAUAUCUUAGAGCAUAUAUUAGAGCAACAAAUUUGUAUAUCCACCAAAACCUUUUAGCUCCAAGCAGACCCCAAACUUUUAUUAGGCUCUGAAGAAGCUCCACCAAUGUGUCCGAUUGAAACUACCUGCAUAAUAAACAGAGAGGAUCAAGGAAAUGAAGGCAAUAUUUGUACAUAUCUAGGAAAAAAUGAUUGUGGUCUUCUAUCGAAAAAAUAUUUUUAGUGCAGUUCAAGCUAACAAUUUCUUUAAGCACUUUCCGUACUACUUUGCCCAACCAGUCACUGUAAAGAUGUAUAACUCCGCACACAUGGAACAUAUGCUAUUUAUCUCAUGUCAACUUGCAUAACUCUUACAGGGAAUUAUAAUACUCCCUACGAUCCAUAUUAGUCGCUCAAAUGGAUGUAUCUAGACGUAUUAUAUUGCUAGAUACAUCCGUUUGAGUGACAAGUAAUAUGAAACGGAGGGAGUACAAGCUAACUACCUCUAAUGCCAAUUGCACAAUGGCAAUAUAAGUUAUCUAGUUCAAUAAUAAAUAGUAUACAAAUUUUGGUGACAGGGAGCAUAUAAGGAAGUUCUCUACAACAAUGUUUACGACAUGCAAGAGAAGUGUACAAUGGGAAGCAUGGCAGCGCAAAAAAUAUACAUGCUCUUAUCUUAUAUGCUCGAGAACUUGAAAAUAUAUAAUAGAAGUAUGCACUCGAGGGAUUUUAUUGCGAAGUACAAAUUGUAUAUAAUACUAUAUGCUUGAAAGAAUAACAAUUUUUUUAGAAAUUCCACCGGAAGAUGUAUUAUUAGAAUUGGCAAUUUUCAGUUAGAAAUAUCAUAGUGCAAUCUGAUAUACGGAUUAGAUACUCAAUAAAAAUUCAAUUGUCAAAGUAUUAUGCCAUAAAUGUUAAUGCACAUGCUCCAUCCUUUCCACUCCCAAACUCUAUUCACCAAUGACCACAAUUGAAUGGACAUAUUUUAACUUGAAAAAGGUGCUAAUAGGCACACGCACAUAUAACAUGCAUGUCUAUUUAUCCGUAUUGAUUAUUGGCGCAAACGCAACAAUACAAAAUCACCUAUCUCCACACAUCCAUGGCGAAGGUAUUGUCAUGUGUGGUUAAUAAUAUCAUUAUUUUUGACUAGGACCAUACACAACAAUGCAACAAAAGGGAGCAUGAAAAUAGGCAGACCCUGGUAUAAAAUAGCAAAAGAGAAAUGAAGCAUAAUGCAAUUAGCAGUCCCCCUUUGAAAAUUAAUAUCAAAAUAUAUAAAAUGAUUAAAUGAGCAUCAUCUACAGUAGCACAAAGAUUAAGUAGAAGCAUCUCUAAUUGAUGCACAGGUUACUAUUCUCUCAUCACUUCUAGCAAUAGCGCAAAAGGUAAGACAUCUUCCAAAUUUUCAAUUAGUAUUGUGAAAAAUAUAAGAACAAAUCUUUGGCAACACAUUCCAAUUUCACAACACUUUUGUUAUUUAAAUCUCAUUUUACACGCUAGCGAUUAUCAUUCUGGCCACCACAGUAAUAACGGCCAUUACCUGCCAUUCUUUUUACAUCACGG
RNAcentral lists this long non-coding RNA (2624 nucleotides) under Triticum aestivum (bread wheat). RNAcentral describes it as "long non-coding RNA (TAES_LNC020335)". Lineage: Eukaryota; Viridiplantae; Streptophyta; Magnoliopsida; Poales; Poaceae. The record is from RNAcentral.